CCUACGGGUGGCAGCAGUGAGGAAUAUUGGUCAAUGGACGAGAGUCUGAACCAGCCAAGUAGCGUGAAGGAUGACUGCCCUAUGGGUUGUAAACUUCUUUUAUAUGGGAAUAAAACGUUCCACGUGUGGGAUUUUGUAUGUACCAUAUGAAUAAGGAUCGGCUAAUUCCGUGCCAGCAGCCGCGGUAAUACGGAGGAUCCGAGCGUUAUCCGGAUUUAUUGGGUUUAAAGGGAGCGUAGGUGGAUUGUUAAGUGAGUUGUGAAAGUUUGCGGCUCAACCGUAAAAUUGCAGUUGAAACUGGCAGUCUUGAGUACAGUAGAGGUGGGCGGAAUUCGUGGUGUAGCGGUGAAAUGCUUAGAUAUCACGAAGAACUCCGAUUGCGAAGGCAGUUCACUGGACUGCAACUGACACUGAGGCUCGAAAGUGUGGGUAUCAAACAGGAUUAGAUACCCGAGUAGUC
RNAcentral lists this ribosomal RNA (460 nucleotides) under uncultured bacterium. RNAcentral describes it as "partial 16S ribosomal RNA". It matches the Rfam family "Bacterial small subunit ribosomal RNA", at positions 338 to 795 of the family's 1533-position model. The record is from RNAcentral.